This 450-nucleotide ribosomal RNA is filed under the name uncultured bacterium. Its description in RNAcentral is "partial 16S ribosomal RNA". It matches the Rfam family "Bacterial small subunit ribosomal RNA", at positions 29 to 523 of the family's 1533-position model. The record is from RNAcentral.
AACGAACGCUGGCGGCAUGCCUAACACAUGCAAGUCGAACGAUGCUUUCGGGCAUAGUGGCGCACGGGUGCGUAACGCGUGGGAAUCUGCCCUUAGGUUCGGAAUAACAGUUAGAAAUGACUGCUAAUACCGGAUGAUGUCGAUAAGACCAAAGAUUUAUCGCCUGAGGAUGAGCCCGCGUAGGAUUAGCUAGUUGGUGUGGUAAGAGCGCACCAAGGCGACGAUCCUUAGCUGGUCUGAGAGGAUGAUCAGCCACACUGGGACUGAGACACGGCCCAGACUCCUACGGGAGGCAGCAGUGGGGAAUAUUGGACAAUGGGCGCAAGCCUGAUCCAGCAAUGCCGCGUGAGUGAUGAAGGCCUUAGGGUUGUAAAGCUCUUUUACCCGUGAUGAUAAUGACAGUAGCGGGAGAAUAAGCCCCGGCUAACUCCGUGCCAGCCGCCGCGGUAA